UACAGAGGGUGCAAGCGUUGUUCGGAAUUAUUGGGCGUAAAGGGCGUGUAGGUGGUUUCGUAAGUCUGGCGUGAAAUUUCUCGGCUUAACCGAGGCAGGUCGUCGGAUACUGCGGAACUAGAGGACGGUAGAGGCGUGUGGAAUUCCGGGUGUAGUGGUGAAAUGCGUAGAGAUCCGGAGGAACACCAGUGGCGAAGGCGACACGCUGGGCCGUACCUGACACUGAUGCGCGACAGCAUGGGGAGCAAACAGG
This 253-nucleotide ribosomal RNA is filed under the name uncultured bacterium. Its description in RNAcentral is "partial 16S ribosomal RNA". It matches the Rfam family "Bacterial small subunit ribosomal RNA", at positions 524 to 776 of the family's 1533-position model. The record is from RNAcentral.